RNAcentral lists this ribosomal RNA (253 nucleotides) under uncultured bacterium. RNAcentral's name for it is "partial 16S ribosomal RNA". It matches the Rfam family "Bacterial small subunit ribosomal RNA", at positions 524 to 776 of the family's 1533-position model. The record is from RNAcentral.
UACGUAGGGGGCAAGCGUUGUCCGGAUUUAUUGGGCGUAAAGAGCGUGUAGGCGGCCAUGUAGGUCCGUUGUGAAAACUCGAGGCUCAACCUCGAGACGCCGAUGGAAACCAUGUGGCUAGAGUCCGGAAGAGGAGAGUGGAAUUCCUGGUGUAGCGGUGAAAUGCGCAGAUAUCAGGAAGAACACCGGUGGCGAAGGCGGGUCUCUGGGCCGAUACUGACGCUGAGGAGCGAAAGCGUGGGGAGCGAACAGG